This is a long non-coding RNA of Culex pipiens pallens (northern house mosquito), 2018 nucleotides long. RefSeq lists it as uncharacterized. The record is from RefSeq and is a predicted model, not a curated record. The transcript is spliced from 4 exons. NCBI's taxonomy places the organism in Eukaryota, Metazoa, Arthropoda, Insecta, Diptera, Culicidae.
GAGCGAGCUGUCAACUUUUUCAAUCGCACGCGUGUUCAAUCCUGAAUGUGUUGGCAGCAGUUUGCGUGCGCGUGUGCUUGUAAAAAACAACUUCCGGCGUCAAAUCCGCCGGGGGACCGAACCAGAACAGCUCCAGGACGGCAGAAUUUGAAUAUUUGGGGACUUCUUCCAAUUUACGGGAUUCAACGCUACGGACGGAGGCGCUCGAUUGGGAAAAGGAGGCCCAGCGCCAGCUGCGGACUUUCCCGGCCGCCGUCAAGGUGUAGCCUUCUAGACGGAGCACAACACGCAAGGUGCUGAACGCGUUCCCGCGGUGUUGGUUGGAUAGUUCUGCCGAGUGAUGAACUCAGGGACUUACUCGAUCCUGUAUUAGGUGUGAGCCAAGUAAUGCUGCAGGGGAGUUUCAGUUCGGCCGCAAUCAUUCGAAGACAGAGGAACACCAUCGCCCAUGGGUCACUUGAUCACCAAUAGAACACACCCAGCACAAACAGGCUGCUUGUUUGAAUCACCGAAUCGAUCUGGCGUUUGCUGGCGGUGCGCUACUACAGAUGCAGAAGGAGUGCGAAAAGGGUAGAAGGAGUUCGUGUGAAGAUUCAGCAUGCAAAAGGUCAAAAUCAACCGUGAGCGAACGUGGCAUCUUCAGCGACGGGGGAAGGAUUGCCGUGGCGGAGGAAAAUUUAAGAAACCAUGAUUUGUCACACACACACACACACACACACACACAAACGUACACAGCUUUCUGGGCCAGCAAAAAAAGUACAGUAUAAUUUAGUGAAGAGAAAAAAAUAAAUAAAAUGAAAAUACAAUGGAACAUACUGUAGUUAUUAUUUAUUUCAUUGUCCGAAUAUAGUUUUUACAGUACCAUUUAGUAGGGAAAAAACCAUGAAGAACUGUAGAUUGACCGUGCAAUCCAUUGUAAUGCUUGCUGUUUUUAUUAUUAAUGUAUGAUGUUUUCUAUAGUCAGGACGAGUUUUUGGAUGAAAAAUGCAACAUUAGAUUAACAGUAAAAUGUGUCGUAUUUGGAAAAAAAAAGUAUGGAAAAAUUUCGAAAUUUUUAUGGUACCGGUGCAUAACAACCCCCCUUUUUUAUGGUAAAAUCCCAAAAUACGACGCAAAUUAUCUUAAAAAACGAUGCUGUCUACUGUUAAAACACUGUCAAAAUGACAAUAUAUUUUAUCGUUUUGUAACGUUAAAAUUUACUGUAAGUUCAUCAGAAAUCUUUAUGCGGGUAUCUAUUCGUCAUACGAUUAGGAUGGUUCGAAACAGCUAUUGUUAGAACAUAAUAGUACUGUAGCUGGUAUGAUAAAAGUUAUGAUACUCGGUAUGAUUUAGUCAAAGAAACCUAAGCGGAAAAUUUCCUAAAUUUCCUAAGUCCUAAUAAUUGAAACAAUUGCACAACAAUUGAUGGUACGAUAUAAUUAUUCCUCAUAUGUUUGGUAUUAUUUCAAACAGUUUUUGUAUGAUUGAGCCAAAAAUGAAUUUUAGCGAAAAUUUUCUUAAGUCCCAAUGAUUCUAACAAUUGUUCAACAAUUCAUGGAGAAAUAUAACUUUUCGCCAUAUGGUAAGGAUUUUUCGGAACAGCUAUUGUUAAAACAUAAGGGUACCAUAGCCGACGUAGUAUUUCCAACUUGAAGUUCAGCGAAAAACUCUUAAGUCCCAAUAAUCCAAACAAUUGAACAACAAUUCAUGGAACGAUAUAAUUGUUCGCCAAACCCUUAGGAUUAUUUGAAACAGGAAUUGUAUGAUUGAGCCAAAUGAACUACAGCAAAAAAAAAAUCUUAAGUCCGAAUAAUUCAGAUAAUAUUUUAACAAUUCAUGGAACGAUAUACCUGAAUUAUGGCGAAAAUUUUCCUAAGUCCCAACAAUUCAAACCAUUGUUCAACAAUUCAUGGAACGAUAUACCUGAAUUAUGGCGAAAAUUUUCCUAAGUCCCAACAAUUCAAACCAUUGUUCAACAUUUCAUGGAAUGAUAUACCUGAACUUCAGCGAAAAUUUUCCUAAGUCCCAACAAUUCAAAC